Molecule: ribosomal RNA, 460 nt
Filed under: uncultured Methylomirabilota bacterium
Lineage: Bacteria; Methylomirabilota (SeqCode)
Description: bacterial SSU rRNA
Rfam family: Bacterial small subunit ribosomal RNA
Source: RNAcentral
GGGCUUGACAUCCCACGAACCUGCCUGAAAGGGCGGGGUGCCCGCAGGGGAGCGUGGAGACAGGUGGUGCAUGGCUGUCGUCAGCUCGUGUCGUGAGAUGUUGGGUUAAGUCCCGCAACGAGCGCAACCCUCACCCCUGGUUGCCACCGGGUAAAGCCGAGCACUCGAGGGGAACUGCCAGCGUCAAGCUGGAGGAAGGCGGGGAUGACGUCAAGUCAUCAUGCCCCUUACGUCCUGGGCUACACACGUGCUACAAUGGCCGGUACAAAGGGACGCGAGACCGCGAGGUGGAGCCAAUCCCAAAAAACUGGUCUAAGUUCAGAUUGCAGUCUGCAACUCGACUGCAUGAAGGAGGAAUCGCUAGUAAUCGCGCAUCAGCACGGCGCGGUGAAUACGUUCCCGGGCCUUGUACACACCGCCCGUCACACCACGAAAGCUGUCUGUACUCGAAGUCGCUGAG